UACGAAGGGGGCUAGCGUUGCUCGGAAUCACUGGGCGUAAAGAGCUUGUAGGCGGUUUGUCGCGUCUGCCGUGAAAAUUCGAGGCUCAACCUCGAACUUGCGGUGGGUACGGGCAGACUAGAGUGUGGUAGGGGAGACUGGAAUUCCUGGUGUAGCGGUGAAAUGCGCAGAUAUCAGGAGGAACACCGAUGGCGAAGGCAGGUCUCUGGGCCACUACUGACGCUGAGAAGCGAAAGCAUGGGGAGCGAACAGG
RNAcentral lists this ribosomal RNA (253 nucleotides) under uncultured bacterium. RNAcentral's name for it is "partial 16S ribosomal RNA". It matches the Rfam family "Bacterial small subunit ribosomal RNA", at positions 524 to 776 of the family's 1533-position model. The record is from RNAcentral.